This is a non-coding RNA of Mus caroli (Ryukyu mouse), 576 nucleotides long. Lineage: Eukaryota; Metazoa; Chordata; Mammalia; Rodentia; Muridae. The record is from the annotation of a RefSeq genome assembly.
GUACACACAGCUCAGACACAAACCCAGAGAGAGGAGUACAACAGUACUAUCCGGGUGGUCAGUGCCCUCCCCAUCCAGCACCAGGACUGGAUGAGUGGCAAGGAGUUCAAAUGCAAGGUCAACAACAAAGCCCUCCCAGCGCCCGUUGAGGGAAAAAUCUCAAAACCCAAAGGGCCAGUCAGAGCUCCACAGGUAUAUGUCUUGCCUCCUCCAGCAGAAGAGAUGACUAAGAAACAGGUCAGUCUGACCUGCAUGAUCACAGGCUUCAUCCCUCCCGAAAUUGAUGUGGAGUGGACCAGCAGUAGGCCUGAUAAGCUGAACUACAAGAACACUGAACCAGUUCUGGACUCUGAUGGUUCUUACUUCAUGUACAGCAAGCUCAGGGUGGAUAAGAAGAACUGGGAGGAAGGAAAUAACUUCAUCUGCUCAGUGGUCCACGAGGGUCUGCACAAUCACCACACGACUAAGACAAUCUCCCGGACUCCGGGUAAAUGAGCUCAGCACCCACAAAGCUCCUGGGUCCUAAGGAACACUGGCACCCAUAUCCAUGCUUCCCUUGUAUAAAUAAAGCACCCA